UCGUAUAUAAAUAAUUAACUAGUAUUGGGUGGGACUAUUAUCGUAGCCCCGCCUCCUACAUCCAUCUGCGUGAAGUGAUCUGAGCGGCGAAGAUUAAAGGAUGAAGUCCAACAAACACACAACACCACACACCACUGACACAGAGUUUGGAGGGGCAAUAGGUGCUGCAUGUCUAAUAGUGCUCCUCCCUCUCACGGUGCUCUUCCUGAUGAGUGUGUGUGUGUCUGAGGAGGGUGCUGUGUUCCGCUGGCCCCCCACACUGCCCCCCCUCUCAGACUUCUACGACCCCCGAGCUGUGUUCAUCAUCACUGGGUGGAUCAGCACACACAUUCUGCUCUACUUGCUCCCAGUGGGCAAGGUGUCAGAGGGUUUAGUACUCAGGGAUGGAAGCAGACUGAAAUAUCCAAUAAAUGGGUUCCAUGCGCUGUGUGUGACAGCCGUGUUGGUGUGUGUGUGUGUGUGUUUGGGCGUACCCCUGGCUGUCCUGUAUGAGCUGAUGGUGCCGUUAGCAGUGUGUGCAGUGGGCGUGGCCUUCCUGCUCUCCCUCUACCUCUACACUUCCUCCUUCUGGGCUCCUGCACAUGCCUUGGCACCAGGAGGACACACAGGACAUGCUGUGUAUGAUUUCUUUAUUGGACGGGAGUUAAACCCACGCAUCGGCUCAUUCGAUCUGAAAUAUUUCUGUGAGCUGCGACCAGGGUUAAUUGGCUGGGUGGUGCUGAAUGCAGUGAUGCUGCUAAAGGAGGUUGAGCUCAGAGGAACACCAUCAGUGUCAAUGCUGCUGGUCAACGUCUUCCAAUUGCUCUAUGUCACAGACGCUCUGUGGAACGAAGAGGCAGUGUUGAGCACCAUGGACAUUGUUCACGAUGGGUUUGGCUUUAUGUUGGCUUUUGGUGAUUUGGUUUGGGUUCCGUUCACAUAUGGCCUCCAAGCAGCCUUCCUUGUGUCACACCCCCAUGAGCUCACGCCCUUCAGUGUCCUUACUAUCAUCGUCCUGAACGGAGUCGGAUAUUACACCUUCCGAAAGUCCAACUCUCAGAAGAACCAGUUCAGGAGAGACCCAACACACAGCAGUGUCCGACAUUUAGAGACGAUUCCCACAGCAACAGGAAAGCGGCUGUUAGUGUCAGGAUGGUGGGGGUUCGUCAGACACCCUAAUUACCUUGGAGACCUUUUAAUGGCACUGGCGUGGUCUCUGCCUUGUGGGUUCUCUCACAUCCUACCGUACUUCUAUGUGCUGUACUUCAGCGUGUUGUUGGUGCACAGGGAGGCACGAGACGAGCACCAGUGCAGAGUGAAGUACGGAGUAUCUUGGGACGCUUACUGCAGACGAGUGCCUUACAGGAUCGUCCCCUACAUCUACUGAGCGGUGACGUUUAUUACACUCUCAAGUCAAGAAGCUUUUAUUGUCAUUUCAACCACAAAUCUGACCCAGAGCACAGUGACAUGAAACAAUGUUCCUUCAGGACCAUGAAGCUACACAGAGCUACAUGAAGCUACACAGAGAUAAGGACUGAAGGAAGUUGGUCCAAGACACAAAGUGCAACAGUGUGAGACAAAAUAUACAAAACACUACAGGACGUAUAACACGACAGCCAGUGUGUGUGCUGUAUGUUCCUCUCACGCCUCGUCCUCUCACACACAUUCUACAUGUAUACACAUGCUCAUAAAAUCUCUGUGUGUGUGUGAGUGUGUGUGUGUGUGUGAGUGAGUGAUUGUGUGUGUGUGUGUGUGUGUGUGUGUGUGAGUGUGUGUGUGAGUGUGUG
Molecule: RNA transcript, 1766 nt
Organism: Tachysurus fulvidraco (yellow catfish)
Lineage: Eukaryota; Metazoa; Chordata; Actinopteri; Siluriformes; Bagridae
Gene: tm7sf2
Gene name: transmembrane 7 superfamily member 2
Exons: 12
Source: RefSeq, a predicted model, not a curated record